RNAcentral lists this transfer RNA (65 nucleotides) under Cladiucha huangbki. RNAcentral's name for it is "tRNA-Tyr". The record is from RNAcentral. Lineage: Eukaryota; Metazoa; Arthropoda; Insecta; Hymenoptera; Tenthredinidae.
AAUAAAAUGGCUGAAUUAGGCGGUAAAUUGUAAAUUUAUUUAUGAAAAAAUUUUUUCUUUUAUUA